AUGCAGAAAGUUCUGACUAAAGUGACUGAUCAGAUGAAUGAUUUCCUGAUUUCACCAUAUACUCAUGAUGAUGUUCGUAAGGUCGUGUUUAGUAUUGGUGAUUUAAAAGCACCAGGGCCAGAUGGACUACAUGCACUUUUCUUUAAAAAAUAUUGGCAUGUACUUGGUGAUGCUAUUUCACAGGAGGUAUUGUUUGCUUUAAACAACCGCCAGAUCCCCGCUAAUUGGAACAAUACUUCCAUUGUUCUUAUUCCAAAAGUAGACACACCUGAAUUGAUUACUCAAUACAGACCUAUCAGUCUAUGCAAUGUCCUGUACAAAAUUAUUUCAAAGAUGUUAGCUAUGAGAUUGAAAAGCAUUUUUCUAGAGAUUAUUUCUCCCACUCACAGUGCGUUUGUCCCGGGCAAAAUGAUAAUAGAUAAUGUACUGGUUGCCUAUGAAUGUGUUCAUAAGAUCAAAAAUAAAAGAGUGGAGCAAACAUGCAUGUGUGUAGUAAAGCUGGAUAUGCACAAGGAAUAUGAUCGAGUGGAGUGGAUAUGUUUGAGGAGCAUGAUGCAGAAACUUGGUUUUCAUGAACAACGGAUUAAAAUGAUUAUGGCAUGUGUCAGUUAUAUAAAAUAUAAGGUGUGA
RNAcentral lists this ribosomal RNA (630 nucleotides) under Triticum aestivum (bread wheat). RNAcentral describes it as "partial small subunit ribosomal RNA". The record is from RNAcentral. Lineage: Eukaryota; Viridiplantae; Streptophyta; Magnoliopsida; Poales; Poaceae.